Molecule: ribosomal RNA, 253 nt
Filed under: uncultured bacterium
Lineage: Bacteria
Description: partial 16S ribosomal RNA
Rfam family: Bacterial small subunit ribosomal RNA
Source: RNAcentral
UACGUAGGGUGCGAGCGUUGUCCGGAAUUAUUGGGCGUAAAGGGCUCGUAGGCGGUUUGUCACGUCGGGAGUGAAAACUCGGGGCUUAACCCCGAGCCUGCUUCCGAUACGGGCAGGCUCGAGUUCGGUAGGGGAGACUGGAAUUCCUGGUGUAGCGGUGAAAUGCGCAGAUAUCAGGAGGAACACCGGUGGCGAAGGCGGGUCUCUGGGCCGAUACUGACGCUGAGGAGCGAAAGCGUGGGGAGCGAACAGG